This 86-nucleotide transfer RNA is filed under the name Candidatus Bathyarchaeota archaeon. RNAcentral's name for it is "tRNA-Ser". It matches the Rfam family "tRNA". Rfam says of the family: Transfer RNA (tRNA) molecules are approximately 80 nucleotides in length. Their secondary structure includes four short double-helical elements and three loops (D, anti-codon, and T loops). Lineage: Archaea; Thermoproteati; Candidatus Bathyarchaeota. The record is from RNAcentral.
GCCGGGGUCACCUAGCCUGGUAGGGUGCAGGCCUGGAGAGCCUGUGGGGCUUACGCCCCUCGUGGGUUCAAAUCCCACCCCCGGCG